UUGGUGGGGUAAUGGCCUACCAAGGCGACGACGGGUAGCCGGCCUGAGAGGGUGACCGGCCACACUGGGACUGAGACACGGCCCAGACUCCUACGGGAGGCAGCAGUGGGGAAUAUUGGACAAUGGGCGAAAGCCUGAUCCAGCAACGCCGCGUGAGGGAUGACGGCCUUCGGGUUGUAAACCUCUUUCAGUAGGGACGAAGCGUGAGUGACGGUACCUACAGAAGAAGCACCGGCCAACUACGUGCCAGCAGCCGCGGUAAUACGUAGGGUGCGAGCGUUGUCCGGAAUUAUUGGGCGUAAAGGGCUCGUAGGCGGUUUGUCGCGUCAGGAGUGAAAACUCGGGGCUUAACUCCGAGCCUGCUUCUGAUACGGGCAGACUAGAGGUAUGCAGGGGAGAACGGAAUUCCUGGUGUAGCGGUGAAAUGCGCAGAUAUCAGGAGGAACACCGGUGGCGAAGGC
Molecule: ribosomal RNA, 461 nt
Filed under: uncultured actinomycete
Lineage: Bacteria; Bacillati; Actinomycetota; Actinomycetes; Actinomycetales
Description: bacterial SSU rRNA
Rfam family: Bacterial small subunit ribosomal RNA
Source: RNAcentral